GUGGGGAAUAUUGGACAAUGGGCGCAAGCCUGAUCCAGCCAUGCCGCGUGAGUGAUGAAGGCCCUAGGGUUGUAAAGCUCUUUCACCGGAGAAGAUAAUGACGGUAUCCGGAGAAGAAGCCCCGGCUAACUUCGUGCCAGCAGCCGCGGUAAUACGAAGGGGGCUAGCGUUGUUCGGAAUUACUGGGCGUAAAGCGCACGUAGGCGGACAUUUAAGUCAGGGGUGAAAUCCCGGGGCUCAACCCCGGAACUGCCGUUGAUACUGGGUGUCUGGAGUAUGGAAGAGGUAAGUGGAAUUCCGAGUGUAGAGGUGAAAUUCGUAGAUAUUCGGAGGAACACCAGUGGCGAAGGCGGCUUACUGGUCCAUUACGGACGCUGAGGUGCGAAAGCGUGGGGAGCAAACAGGAUUAGAAACCCGAGUAGUCC
RNAcentral lists this ribosomal RNA (425 nucleotides) under uncultured bacterium. RNAcentral's name for it is "partial 16S ribosomal RNA". It matches the Rfam family "Bacterial small subunit ribosomal RNA", at positions 354 to 796 of the family's 1533-position model. The record is from RNAcentral.